GUUGUAGUCUGGAGAAGUGCUUUCCGCGCUGGACCGUGUACAAGUCUCUUGGAAUAGAGCGUCAUAGAGGGUGAGAAUCCCGUCUUUGACACGGACUACCAGUGCUUUGUGAUGCGCUCUCAAAGAGUCGAGUUGUUUGGGAAUGCAGCUCAAAAUGGGUGGUAAAUUCCAUCUAAAGCUAAAUAUUGGCGAGAGACCGAUAGCGAACAAGUACCGUGAGGGAAAGAUGAAAAGCACUUUGGAAAGAGAGUUAAACAGUACGUGAAAUUGCUGAAAGGGAAACGCUUGAAGUCAGUCGCGUCGUGUGGGACUCAGCCUUGCUUUUGCUUGGUGCACUUCCUGCAUGACGGGCCAGCAUCAAUUUCGACCGUUGGAUAAGGGCCGAAGGAAUGUGGCACCUCCGGGUGUGUUAUAGCCUUCGGUCGCAUACAACGAUUGGGAUUGAGGAACGCAGCGUGCCGCAAGGUAACGUUUGAGGAUGCUGGCAUAAUGGCUUUAAACGACCCGUCUUGAAACACGGACCAAGGAGUCUAACAUGCCUGCGAGUGUUUGGGUGGAAA
Molecule: ribosomal RNA, 560 nt
Filed under: Favolus tenuiculus
Lineage: Eukaryota; Fungi; Basidiomycota; Agaricomycetes; Polyporales; Polyporaceae
Description: eukaryotic LSU rRNA
Rfam family: Eukaryotic large subunit ribosomal RNA
Source: RNAcentral